Molecule: ribosomal RNA, 492 nt
Filed under: uncultured bacterium
Lineage: Bacteria
Description: partial 16S ribosomal RNA
Rfam family: Bacterial small subunit ribosomal RNA
Source: RNAcentral
AGUGAACGCUGGCGGUAGGCCUAACACAUGCAAGUCGAACGGCAGCACAGUAAGAGCUUGCUCUUACGGGUGGCGAGUGGCGGACGGGUGAGGAAUACAUCGGAAUCUACUUUUUCGGGGGGGAUAACGUAGGGAAACUUACGCUAAUACCGCAUACGACCUACGGGUGAAAGCAGGGGAUCUUCGGACCUUGCGCGAUUGAAUGAGCCGAUGUCGGAUUAGCUAGUUGGCGGGGUAAAGGCCCACCAAGGCGACGAUCCGUAGCUGGUCUGAGAGGAUGAUCAGCCACACUGGAACUGAGACACGGUCCAGACUCCUACGGGAGGCAGCAGUGGGGAAUAUUGGACAAUGGGCGCAAGCCUGGUCCAGCCAUACCGCGUGGGUGAAGAAGGCCUUCGGGUUGUAAAGCCCUUUUGUUGGGAAAGAAAAGCAGCAGGUUAAUACCCCGCUGUUCUGACGGUACCCAAAGAAUAAGCACCGGCUAACUUCGUG